Molecule: ribosomal RNA, 303 nt
Filed under: Clostridioides difficile
Lineage: Bacteria; Bacillati; Bacillota; Clostridia; Peptostreptococcales; Peptostreptococcaceae
Description: bacterial LSU rRNA
Rfam family: Bacterial large subunit ribosomal RNA
Source: RNAcentral
GGAGUUACGUUAAGUAGCAAGGUUAAGCACUUAAGGUGCGGAGCCGUAGCGAAAGCGAGUUUUAACUGAGCGUUCAGUUACUUGACGGAGACCCGAAACCGGGCGACCUACCCAUGAGCAGGAUGAAGCGAAAGUAAAAGUUCGUGGAGGUCCGAACCCACGAGCGUUGAAAAGCUCGGGGAUGACUUGUGGGUAGCGGUGAAAUUCCAAUCGAGCCCGGAGAUAGCUGGUUCUCCCCGAAAUAGCUUUAGGGCUAGCCUCAAGGUGAGAGAUACGGAGGUAGAGCACUGAAUGUCCUAGGGG